Molecule: non-coding RNA, 360 nt
Organism: Lactobacillus acetotolerans
Lineage: Bacteria; Bacillati; Bacillota; Bacilli; Lactobacillales; Lactobacillaceae
Rfam family: Bacterial RNase P class B
About the family: Ribonuclease P (RNase P) is a ubiquitous endoribonuclease, found in archaea, bacteria and eukarya as well as chloroplasts and mitochondria. Its best characterised activity is the generation of mature 5'-ends of tRNAs by cleaving the 5'-leader elements of precursor-tRNAs.
Source: Rfam
AAUUUUGAGCGGUCGCGGUUAACUUAUGUUAGCUGAGGAAAGUCCACGCACGCACGAACUGCGAAGUUUGUAGUGUUCGUAUUCAGCCUAAUAAGCUGGAGAAUUUUUGUUACGGCGGAAAAAAUGCUAAGUCUUUUGAUAUGCACUACUAUCCUGAAAAGUGCCACAGUGACGAAGCAGAAUUGAAAACGAUUCUGGUGGAACGAGGUAAACCCUGCGAGCGUGCAACCCAAAUUUGGUAGGGGCGUCUCAACCUAAGAAAAUGAACUAAAGGUUGGAUUACUAUUUUAUAGUAAAGAUAGAUGGCUGCUAAAAGUAAUUUUUGCCAAAAAUUACCGGAACAAAACGUGGCUUAUAGAG